AGACCUAUCACAAAGAUAGGUUGUUGACUUAAAUGUCUGGUAUUAUUUAUUUGCUUUAGCAGAGACCCAAAGUCCUCAUCAACAAUUCACAUCAUCCACCACAGAAAGAACAUCGAGAAAGCAUCCCACACUUCAUGGCACAAGCUCGCCAAUCACAAGAGUCAAUGCAUCUGUGAGGACCUCAACUAUUUCUGAAGGAAGAAAUAAAGUGGCAGCCAUUUCUAAUGGUUAUACAUCAACAGUAGGUGGAGUUACAGGCAUAAUUCUCCUUUGCCUGGUGGCAGCAGUAUUCAUUUUCUUGUGGUUAAGACAUAGAAAUCAUAGAAACCAGAUUGUAUAUCAUCCCAAACCAGAUCCCUGCACUUACAUACCUUUACCAGUCUGUACAUCUGAACACAGUUCGGCUCAAUCAAACAAAGCAGCUGAAAACUCCACGGAAGCCUCUGUCACUGACAAAAAUCCAGGUGCGGAGACUUGUGAUGAGCUCCUCCCACAAACAGACUCCUGAUAAGCCUUGUUCAGACUGUCCGUCCAAAUCUAAUUCUUGGAAUCUGAUCAUAUUUAGCAAGUGUGAACAGGAAAAAGAAAUCACAUGAAAUACCAUUUUUACAAAUCUGUUUCAAGAUACUUUAAUUUGUGGCCUAAUCAGAUCACAUUUCUGGAAAUCUGAUUCAAGUCUGACCACUCUUGAUUGGAUUUUGCCACGUUCUCAUGCCAUGUUUAAUGUAAAUACAUCAGAUAUUGUUUGUAGGAAACACGCCAAAUGUCUUUGCAAAAACAAGAUUGUGUUGUUUUGAAGUGCAAGUCGAGCAGAAAUGUACUGCUCAAUAUACUGCUAGACUGCACACCUCUUUUAAUUGAGACGGGUGGAGACAGUAACAUGGAAUAAAGCCACUGCCUCGUAGGAGAUGUAAUACUCCAGUAAUAAUACAUAAUAAUCCAGAACAAAUAAUCCAGUAAUAAUACUGUAGGUAAUAAUCCAGAGCAAUGGCAACAAUGUCAUGUUGUCUUACAACAUCUUUAUGCAGAUAUUCCAUUAAACAAAAGAGCAUCACGGGACACAAAAAUCGAAUCUGAACAGUUGGGAUACACAGUGUGGACAGUCAAUGAAUAAAAUGAAUAAAGUUUUUAUAUUGUUUUUAAUACAUUGUCUUUUUAUGUAUGUUGUUCAAUGACAAAACACACAAUGAACUUUUAGAUAAGUGGUUCUCAGUGGUUUUUCUCAAGUAGUCAAGGUUUAGCUGGCUAGUGUUAGCCCCUUCUGGUUGAUGCUAUUAACUACACUUUGUGGCUGCAAAAAGCAUCUCUCUACACUGGUCAUUCAAUGGAAAUAAUUUGUAUGCUAACACACUUGUGACUGUACAUUUUGAAACAUUUUGUAAUCAGUAUUAAAUUAUUGUGCUUAAUUAUCAGGGUUUUGAAACAGACAUUUUGAUACCCUAGGCAAGAUAUCUUUUGUCAACCAUCCAUAACCUAACCCUAACCCUAACAGUUCAGCUUGAAUUAAGGUUCUUUUUGGAAGCUUCUUGUUCAGAUGAUUUGUUCCACUUAAAUAUCAAAUGCAUCAUGAUUGCGCUUUAUAAUUUCAGGGGCUUUAUCACAUGCAGUAAGCGUCAAAAAUAAAUUGUGGUAUGGCAAGUAAGGUAAUAGACAAUCAAAUAGUUUCACUUCAGCAUUUUCAUAGAUAUAUGUGACCCUGGACCACAAAACCUUAAGUCUUAAGUCGCUGCGGUAUAUUUGUAGCAAUAUCCAAAAAUACAUUGUAUUUCUUUUAUGCCAAAAAUCAUUAGGGUAAUAAGUAAAGAUCAUGUUCCAUGAAGAUAUUUUGUAAAUUUCCUACUGUAACAUUUUUUUGAUUAGUAAUAUGCAUUGCUCAGAACUUCAUUUGGACAGUAUGUGUGACAUUCAAACAAUUAAGAAUGGUUUGUCUCACUGUAUAAUCCACAGUUUUGAACACAUUCAUUCUGGUGUGAUCAAACUCAAUACCACUGAGCACAAUGGCCCCUGUGAUUGCUGCGUUGUAUGUCGGGUCUUGUCCCUUGCAAAGGCAUUGCAUUGGGUUUCUCAUUUCUGGUUUUCCUGUGUCUUGUUGUUCUGUUUUUGAGUUAUUUGUAUUUAAUUUAUUACUUUAAUAAACUACUUUCA
This 2145-nucleotide long non-coding RNA is filed under the name Sinocyclocheilus grahami. Its description in RNAcentral is "lncRNA (ENSSGRG00000054155.1)". Lineage: Eukaryota; Metazoa; Chordata; Actinopteri; Cypriniformes; Cyprinidae. The record is from RNAcentral.